AUCCAGCCGACGAGUUCGAAAUUGGAUAAAACGCGUGUCCUGGAU
RNAcentral lists this non-coding RNA (45 nucleotides) under Schistosoma haematobium. The record is from RNAcentral. Lineage: Eukaryota; Metazoa; Platyhelminthes; Trematoda; Strigeidida; Schistosomatidae.